AAUGCCUAGGAAUCGUGCCUAGUGGUGGGGGAUAACGUUCGGAAACGGACGCUAAUACCGCAUACGUCCUACGGGNGAAAGCGGGGGGAUCUUCGGACCUCGCGCCAUUAGAUGAGCCUAGGUCGGAUUAGCUAGUUGGUGAGGUAAUGGCUCACCAAGGCGACGAUCCGUAACUGGCUGAGAGGAUGAUCAGUCACACUGGAACUGAGACACGGUCCAGACUCCUACGGGAGGCAGCAGUGGGGAAUAUUGGACAAUGGGCGAAAGCCUGAUCCAGCCAUGCCGCGUGUGUGAAGAAGGUCUUCGGAUUGUAAAGCACUUUAAGUUGGGAGGAAGGGUAGUAACCUAAUACGUUGCUACUUUGACGUUACCGACAGAAUAAGCACCGGCUAACUUCGUG
This 400-nucleotide ribosomal RNA is filed under the name uncultured bacterium. RNAcentral's name for it is "bacterial SSU rRNA". It matches the Rfam family "Bacterial small subunit ribosomal RNA", at positions 112 to 507 of the family's 1533-position model. The record is from RNAcentral.